RNAcentral lists this ribosomal RNA (462 nucleotides) under uncultured bacterium. RNAcentral's name for it is "partial 16S ribosomal RNA". It matches the Rfam family "Bacterial small subunit ribosomal RNA", at positions 29 to 507 of the family's 1533-position model. The record is from RNAcentral.
AGUGAACGCUGGCGGCGUGCCUAAUACAUGCAAGUCGAACGGAGAUUAAGUAGCUUGCUAUUUACUCUUAGUGGCGCACGGGUGAGUAAUAUAUAGCUAACUUGCCCAUUACUAAGGGACAACAGUUGGAAACGACUGCUAAUACCUUAUACUCCGUAUCUAUAUAAGUAGAUACGGGAAAGUUUUUCGGUAAUGGAUAGGGCUAUAUCGUAUCAGCUAGUUGGUAAGGUAAUGGCUUACCAAGGCUAUGACGCGUAACUGGUCUGAGAGGAUGAUCAGUCACACUGGAACUGAGACACGGUCCAGACUCCUACGGGAGGCAGCAGUAGGGAAUAUUGCUCAAUGGGGGAAACCCUGAAGCAGCAACGCCGCGUGGAGGAUGACACUUUUCGGGGCGUAAACUCCUUUUCUUGGGAAAGAAUUAUGACGGUACCCAAGGAAUAAGCACCGGCUAACUCCGUG